RNAcentral lists this unclassified non-coding RNA (203 nucleotides) under Hevea brasiliensis (rubber tree). Lineage: Eukaryota; Viridiplantae; Streptophyta; Magnoliopsida; Malpighiales; Euphorbiaceae. The record is from RNAcentral.
UUGUUUUGUACCUAUCCUUUAAUUGAAAGUUGCAUUCUCUUUUUAACUUUUUUUUUUUUACCUAUCCUUUGAUUCAAUGUGCUUUUCAUCUUGAGAGAUCUCUUUUACUUGAGUUUUCGACUGCAUGAAUACGUGUCAGACAUAUAUUCCAUGUUGUGUCUCGUGUUGACAUGGUUAUGGCAGGGCAAAAUGAAGAGUUGGAG